CAGAUCAAUGACAUGUAUUGGUGAAGGUGUCUGAGUCAACACAUUUGAUUAAGUCCUCUGUGUAACUCAGAGCUCCGG
RNAcentral lists this small nucleolar RNA (78 nucleotides) under Octodon degus (degu). RNAcentral's name for it is "Small nucleolar RNA SNORD113/SNORD114 family (ENSODEG00000021682.1)". The record is from RNAcentral. Lineage: Eukaryota; Metazoa; Chordata; Mammalia; Rodentia; Octodontidae.